Molecule: non-coding RNA, 27 nt
Filed under: Rattus norvegicus (Norway rat)
Lineage: Eukaryota; Metazoa; Chordata; Mammalia; Rodentia; Muridae
Source: RNAcentral
CACACUCAUUCUUAACAAAGCUCACUC